This 253-nucleotide ribosomal RNA is filed under the name uncultured bacterium. RNAcentral describes it as "partial 16S ribosomal RNA". It matches the Rfam family "Bacterial small subunit ribosomal RNA", at positions 524 to 776 of the family's 1533-position model. The record is from RNAcentral.
UACGAAGGGGGCUAGCGUUGUUCGGAAUCACUGGGCGUAAAGGGCGCGUAGGCGGCCGAUCAAGUCGGGGGUGAAAGCCUGUGGCUCAACCACAGAAUUGCCUUCGAUACUGUUUGGCUUGAGACCGGAAGAGGUUAGUGGAACUGCGAGUGUAGAGGUGAAAUUCGUAGAUAUUCGCAAGAACACCAGUGGCGAAGGCGGCUAACUGGUCCGGUUCUGACGCUGAGGCGCGAAAGCGUGGGGAGCAAACAGG